UCGAACGAGAAAGUUUUCUUCGGAGAACGAGUAAAGUGGCGCACGGGUGAGUAACGCGUAAGUAAUCUACCCUUGCAUUUGGGAUAACUACGGGAAGCUGUAGCUAAUACCGGAUACGUUCAUAGAGUUACGACUCUAUGAAGAAAGAUGACCUCUUCUUGAAAGUUAUCGUGCAGGGAGGAGCUUGCGUACCAUUAGCUAGUUGGUAGGGUAAUGGCCUACCAAGGCGACGAUGGUUAGCGGGUCUGAGAGGAUGAUCCGCCACACUGGAACUGAAACACGGACCAGACUCCUACGGGAGGCAGCAGUGAGGAAUAUUGCGCAAUGGGGGAAACCCUGACGCAGCGACGCCGCGUGGAUGAUGAAGGCCUUCGGGUCGUAAAAUCCUGUCAGAUGGGAAGAAAUGUAUGAGGGAAUAAUCCUCUUGUGCUUGACGGUCCAUCNNNGG
RNAcentral lists this ribosomal RNA (448 nucleotides) under uncultured prokaryote. RNAcentral's name for it is "bacterial SSU rRNA". It matches the Rfam family "Bacterial small subunit ribosomal RNA", at positions 62 to 487 of the family's 1533-position model. The record is from RNAcentral.